UACGUAGGGGGCUAGCGUUGUCCGGAAUCAUUGGGCGUAAAGAGCGCGUAGGCGGCUAGAUAAGUCCGGUGUGAAAGUCACAGGCUCAACCUGUGAAUGCCGCUGGAAACUGUCUGGCUAGAGUCCGGAAGAGGAGAGUGGAAUUCCUGGUGUAGCGGUGAAAUGCGCAGAUAUCAGGAAGAACACCCGUGGCGAAGGCGGCUCUCUGGGACGGUACUGACGCUGAGACGCGAAAGCGUGGGGAGCGAACAGG
RNAcentral lists this ribosomal RNA (253 nucleotides) under uncultured bacterium. Its description in RNAcentral is "partial 16S ribosomal RNA". It matches the Rfam family "Bacterial small subunit ribosomal RNA", at positions 524 to 776 of the family's 1533-position model. The record is from RNAcentral.